This is an unclassified non-coding RNA of Cavia porcellus (domestic guinea pig), 293 nucleotides long. Its record names the gene 7SK. It matches the Rfam family "7SK RNA". Rfam says of the family: 7SK was discovered as an abundant small nuclear RNA in the mid-70s but a possible function has only recently been suggested. Lineage: Eukaryota; Metazoa; Chordata; Mammalia; Rodentia; Caviidae. The record is from Ensembl.
UGACAUGAGAGUGACCUGCUUGUGACCUGUCACCCUGAUGAUUGCCAGGGUUGGUUCAUCGGAUCUGGCUGGUGAGGGAAUGUUCCCUUUCUCCCUCACCAUUCCAUGUGCAUCCUUCCCAAAGCUAUGUGCUCCAUUGAACAGUGCAACCACUCCCUGUAGAGGACCAUUUUUUUCAAUCAAAAGUAUAGGAGUAGCUCCUCUUCCCGCUAGAACCUAGCCUCAAAAAGAAUAAAAUUAUAAAUAUCAUUAACAAAGCUAAAAUGCACAUCACAAUUUAAAAUUCUACAUUU